AACGAACGCUGGCGGCAUGCCUAACACAUGCAAGUCGAACGAGACCGUCGGAUCUAGCUGCGCUCGGGGGCGUGACGCGUGGGAAGCUGCCCGUAGGUUCGGUAUAAUGCCCCGUAAGGGAUGCUAAUGCAGGAGAAUCUAAUCCGACAAAGGAUCUAUCGUCUUUGUAUGGGCCCGCGUUGGAUUAGCUAGUUGGUAGGGUAAAAGCCUACCAAGGCGACGAUCCAUAGCUGGUCUGAGAGGAUGAUCAGCGACACUGGGCCUGAGACACGGCCCAGACUCCUACGGAAGGCAGCGGUGGGGAAUAUUGUACGAUGGACGAAGGCCUGAUCCAGCAAUGCCGCGUGAGUGAUGCAGGCGUUAGUGUUGUAAAGCUCGUUUACCCGGGAUGAUAAUGACGGUACCGGGAGAAUAAGCUCCGGCUAACUACGUG
RNAcentral lists this ribosomal RNA (433 nucleotides) under uncultured bacterium. Its description in RNAcentral is "partial 16S ribosomal RNA". It matches the Rfam family "Bacterial small subunit ribosomal RNA", at positions 29 to 507 of the family's 1533-position model. The record is from RNAcentral.